GGCUCAGGAUGAACGCUAGCGGCAGGCUUAAUACAUGCAAGUCGUGGGGCAGCAUGAGUAGCAAUACUUGAUGGCGACCGGCAAACGGGUGAGGAACACGUACACAACCUUCCUUCAAGCGGGGAAUAGCCCAGAGAAAUUUGGAUUAAUACCCCAUAAUAUAUUUGAUAAGGCAUCUUAUUAAUAUUAAAGCUUCGGCACUUGAUGAUGGGUGUGCGGCUGAUUAGAUAGUUGGCGGGGUAACGGCCCACCAAGUCUACGAUCAGUAGCUGAUGUGAGAGCAUGAUCAGCCACACGGGCACUGAGACACGGGCCCGACUCCUACGGGAGGCAGCAGUAAGGGAUAUUGGGCAAUGGACGAAAGUCUGAUCCAGCCAUGCCGCGUGAAGGAUUAAGGUCCUCUGGAUUGUAAACUUCUUUUAUAUGGGACGAAAAAAGGGCAUUCUUGUUCACUUGACGGUACCAUAUGAAUAAGCACCGGCUAACUCCGUG
RNAcentral lists this ribosomal RNA (492 nucleotides) under uncultured bacterium. RNAcentral's name for it is "bacterial SSU rRNA". It matches the Rfam family "Bacterial small subunit ribosomal RNA", at positions 21 to 507 of the family's 1533-position model. The record is from RNAcentral.